UACGUAGGGUGCGAGCGUUGUCCGGAAUUAUUGGGCGUAAAGAGCUUGUAGGUGGCUCGUUGCGUCGGGAGUGAAAACCUGCGGCUUAACCGCAGGCCUGCUUCCGAUACGGGCGAGCUAGAGUUCGGCAGGGGAGACUGGAAUUCCUGGUGUAGCGGUGGAAUGCGCAGAUAUCAGGAGGAACACCGAUGGCGAAGGCAGAUCUCUGGGCCGUAACUGACGCUGAGGAGCGAAAGCGUGGGGAGCGAACAGG
RNAcentral lists this ribosomal RNA (253 nucleotides) under uncultured bacterium. RNAcentral describes it as "partial 16S ribosomal RNA". It matches the Rfam family "Bacterial small subunit ribosomal RNA", at positions 524 to 776 of the family's 1533-position model. The record is from RNAcentral.